UUUUUCUCGUUCACAGAUCUCACAGACUCUGACCCUUCUGUCUACCAACUGAAGUCCCAAGAUGGAAAAUUUUCAGCUUGCCUUUUCACAGACUUCGCCCCUGAGAACAUCUCAGUUGGGAGUUCACACAAUGUUCUGACACAAGUCAGUGGCUCCAUUGUGCAGGUGAAAAACCCAGACAGCGGAAAAAAGGAAGCGAGCUAUGGGACAGUGCUUUGGAGAAAAGAGCAGUCACUUCACUGCUUCGCUGAACAUAAAACAAAACCAUUCUAUAUGGACAACAGUGACGAGGAAGGUGACACCUGUGGGAUGAUAGAGAUGGAUGACAAUUUUGAGACAGACGAGAAGCUGAACCUCCUGUCAUUCACGCUGCUGGGCCUGAGAAUCGUUUUUGUGAAAGGAGUGGCGGUUAACCUGCUACUGACCAUCUGGCUGUGGAAAAGCUAA
Molecule: non-coding RNA, 447 nt
Organism: Chrysemys picta bellii (western painted turtle)
Lineage: Eukaryota; Metazoa; Chordata; Testudines; Emydidae
Source: the annotation of a RefSeq genome assembly